UGGGGAAUUUUGGACAACGGGCGAAAAGCCUGAUCCAGCAAUGCCGCGUGUGUGAAGAAGGCCUUCGGGUUGUAAAGCACUUUUGUCCGGAAAGAAAUCCUUGGCUCUAAUACAGUCGGGGGAUGACGGUACCGGAAGAAUAAGCACCGGCUAACUACGUGCCAGCAGCCGCGGUAAUACGUAGGGUGCAAGCGUUAAUCGGAAUUACUGGGCGUAAAGCGUGCGCAGGCGGUUUGCUAAGACCGAUGUGAAAUCCCCGGGCUCAACCUGGGAACUGCAUUGGUGACUGGCAGGCUAGAGUAUGGCAGAGGGGGGUAGAAUUCCACGUGUAGCAGUGAAAUGCGUAGAGAUGUGGAGGAAUACCGAUGGCGAAGGCAGCCCCCUGGGCCAAUACUGACGCUCAUGCACGAAAAGCGUGGGGGAGCAAAACAGGAUUAGAUACCCCUGGGUAGUCCACGCCCUAAAACGAUGUCAACUAGUUGUUGGGGAUUCAUUUCCUUAGUAACGUAGCUAACGCGUGAAGUUGACCGCCUGGGGAGUACGGUCGCAAGAUUAAAACUUAAAUGAAUUGACGGGGUCAUAGCUGUUUCCU
This 592-nucleotide ribosomal RNA is filed under the name uncultured bacterium. RNAcentral's name for it is "partial 16S ribosomal RNA". It matches the Rfam family "Bacterial small subunit ribosomal RNA", at positions 355 to 1375 of the family's 1533-position model. The record is from RNAcentral.